Molecule: transfer RNA, 70 nt
Filed under: Symplecta hybrida
Lineage: Eukaryota; Metazoa; Arthropoda; Insecta; Diptera; Limoniidae
Description: tRNA-Trp
Rfam family: tRNA
About the family: Transfer RNA (tRNA) molecules are approximately 80 nucleotides in length.
Source: RNAcentral
AAGGCUUUAAGUUCAAUUAAACUAAUAGCCUUCAAAGCUAUCUAUAUAAGUAAAAAUCUUUUAAGCCUUA